UGCAAAAUGCACUUUUCCAUGGUUUUCUAUCGGUAGUAUGUGUCCCUGGCGUGUCUACGGACCCCCCAAACAUGAGAAAAGUCCAUCCUCUCGUUCUUUUGCUUUCUCCACCUUUCAAGAAAUGUGUGCUCAAACGAGCGGAUUGGAGAUUCGCCCCUGGUGACGUCAAGAAGGGCGAUGCCCCUCCCCCCGGAUGGGUGACGCUCCCCGAGCUAGGUGUGUGUUCCGCCCUCUGAGUCCGUGUUACAGACGGUAUCGUUACUUCCCUCGCGAACACUGGCUUUCGGUAGAACAAUGUCGAAGGUACGAGCGAAACACAGUAGUUGCUUUGUUGUUGGCUGCACAAACCAACACAGGAGUCUUUUUUAAAUCCCUACGCCCGAGGAUCUGAAGACCCAGUGGAUUAAUUUUAUUUUUGAUGGAAAUGUUCCCGCUCCAACUCCGAAAGUGUUGUACGUGUGUGCUAACCAUUUCACCUCGGACUGCUUUCUCAACGAGGGCCAGGACAACGCAGGAUUUCCUACAAGUCUCAAGAUAAAGCUUGGAUCAGUACCGACUGUCCGUGACCCAACUUUGAACUUCGGAGCUGCCAUCUAUACAGCUUCCUGCAACAAGGGGUGUUGCAUGCCAGACUGACCCACUGUAGGCACACAGUUAUCCUUGAAGAUCUUCAGCCUCACAUCAGAAGUACAGCUCUGUAGCCAUCUGAAGUGCAUCUACUUUUGAUAAACCUAACAGUCAUUUAUCAGUCUUGGAAUAAUGUGCAGGGAAUGUGGUGGACCUCAUAUUUGAAAAAGUCUUUGUGACCUGGGACCAUACACAGAAGCUGCUUUGGCCAUCCCCAUCCCAGAGGACCUCACUGCACAGUCGAGCGGCCUGAGAAGGAGGAGGUCAUAUCCA
Molecule: long non-coding RNA, 900 nt
Organism: Seriola aureovittata
Lineage: Eukaryota; Metazoa; Chordata; Actinopteri; Carangiformes; Carangidae
Exons: 3
Source: RefSeq, a predicted model, not a curated record